AAAAAAUGAAUUUUAAAACUCUUACUUCUUAGUUAACAAACAAGAAAGAACAUGAUUUCUGAAAACCAAAAUGGAGCCACCAAAUUUAUUAGAACGAGAACCUAUCUUCUGAUUUCUUGAUGAUCAAGCAAAUAAAUUGUCUAUCAAUUUGACUCGGUCAUUUCAAACACAUUGAAAAGUAACAUAAUCCAUUUGGUAAGAAAUUAUACAUCAAUUGUCAUUUAAGUGAAAUGCAUAACGUCCACAAAGAAACCGUUUCAUCCUAAACGGAUCUCCUAUAAAAAUGUCUGGUUUAUCAACAACAUAUUGGUUGAGUUGAUCGGAAGUCAGCCUUACUGCUCAACUUAAAGAAGAGACACACAAAUAUUACGCAACUUACUGAUAUAGGGCAGAUUUCAUUACACAAAUACGAAAUAUGGUCAACCAUUAAUCUAAAACAUAACACCAAAAAUUACUAGUUACAACAACAAAUGUGACAAAAAAAUAUGUUGGUAGACAAGAAAAAAUGAAUCUAAACAAAAAAAAGUUACACGAAAAAAAAAAAAACUAUCAUUUUCUCCUCGGCAUAAAACUAUAGAAGUAUACAUCUAUUGACCUUAAAUAAACCUAUAGUUAUCCCAUUAUAAUAAAUUUACAGUUCAAAAAUCAGCAACAAAACAAAUGAAGACCAACGUUGGGAAUUUAGAAACAGAAACCCAUCCUUUCUACUAAGAUGCUUUUGAAGAUAUAGUACAUUAAUUGUAUAAUGUGACAUUUCCUAAAACAAAUUAUUAAUUUACUCUUUAGUAGAAACAAUUAUAUAUCCUAAUGAACAAUCAAAAGAAAAAAAAUACCCAACAACUAGAAAACAUAAAAACAUAAUAUAUGUUUGCUAGAAACCCAUAUCGACCAUCAAAAUGUAACAUCUCCAACAACAUCAUACAAAGCAGAUAAAAGAACAUACACACACAAUGUAAGAGCUUAUCCACAUAUACUGGUGAUUCAAGGAUUAUGAACGAUUUUGAACUCAUUAGAGAAUAAAACAUAUGAACCCGACGCGUAACACCGGAAUACCACUAGUUAUUAAUAAAGUUAAGUUGUUAAAAAGGCAAAUAUCCACCCAGAGAUAUAGAAGACAUUUGAGAAAAAUAAAUGCCAACUAAUAAUAGAACAAACAAAAAAUAAGUUUUGUUUAAUUAAAUAAUUUAUCUAAUAGGUCUACCAAAAAAAAUGUAUCUAAUAAUAUAUUAUUUAAUAUCCCCUAUAUAUUAUUUGAGAAGCAUUGCAACAUUUUUU
This 1275-nucleotide long non-coding RNA is filed under the name Brassica rapa (field mustard). Its description in RNAcentral is "long non-coding RNA (BRAP_LNC005669)". The record is from RNAcentral. Lineage: Eukaryota; Viridiplantae; Streptophyta; Magnoliopsida; Brassicales; Brassicaceae.